RNAcentral lists this unclassified non-coding RNA (803 nucleotides) under Hevea brasiliensis (rubber tree). The record is from RNAcentral. Lineage: Eukaryota; Viridiplantae; Streptophyta; Magnoliopsida; Malpighiales; Euphorbiaceae.
AAUUACUGGAUCAAUUUUUCCUAUAGAAAAUGCUACAUAAAAAUAGUAUCUAUUAUUUUAAUUAGUAAUUUUGGAAGUUUUUUAAUUAUUUAAUUUUAUACUCUCAGUUGAUCUAUUAAAUCUUAGUUUUUGUUUUGAUUAACUUAUUGGUGAUUUUCCUUUAUCAUUGUCUUAUCUUAGAGUACUUAUUUAAUUUACCCCUCUCUUCCUUGACCUAGAUAACAAUAAUGUCGACUUCCUUCACCAUAUGGUGCAGAAGCUUUUUCCACAGGAAAUGGGAACUCUUGAUUUUUUACACAGUCAACACUACUUCCGAGUAUUCAGAGCAAAUUUGCAGGCUGAUCCAAAUCUAUUGCAGCCUUUGCUUCAAGAAUUGGGGAGCCAAAAGCCUCAAAGAUUGAGGUUUAUUCAAGAGCAUCAGGAUGAUUUUCUUCGCUUUAUCAAUCAACCCGUUGAAGGUGGAGAAGGGAACACCAUAGACUUGGAGCAGCUGCAAGCAGCAAUGACACGGAUGGGCGUUCCAAGUGCUGCAGGGGCAGGGCCUAUUAAUUUUUUUCGGAACGAUCCACAGUUCCAAGAAUUGAGAGCUAGGGUGCAGGCUAGUCCACAUCUAUUGGAUGGUAUGCUUCAACACGUGGGGAACCAAAAUCCUCAUGCAUUGAGGUUUAUUCAAGAGCAUUGGGCUGACUUUAUUCACUUCAUCAAUGAACCCAUUGAAGGUGGACAAAGGAACAUCUUGGCCCUGGGGCAGCUGCAACCAGCAAUGCCACAGAUGGUAAUAGUUACACCUGAGGAACGUGAAG